This 76-nucleotide transfer RNA is filed under the name Alphaproteobacteria bacterium. RNAcentral describes it as "tRNA-Lys". It matches the Rfam family "tRNA". From Rfam's summary of the family: Transfer RNA (tRNA) molecules are approximately 80 nucleotides in length. Their secondary structure includes four short double-helical elements and three loops (D, anti-codon, and T loops). Lineage: Bacteria; Pseudomonadati; Pseudomonadota; Alphaproteobacteria. The record is from RNAcentral.
GGGUGCGUAGCUCAGUUGGGAGAGCAGCUGACUCUUAAUCAGCGGGUCCUAGGUUCGAUCCCUAGUGCGCCCACCA